RNAcentral lists this unclassified non-coding RNA (1275 nucleotides) under Acromyrmex echinatior (Panamanian leafcutter ant). RNAcentral describes it as "annexin B9-like, transcript variant X5". Lineage: Eukaryota; Metazoa; Arthropoda; Insecta; Hymenoptera; Formicidae. The record is from RNAcentral.
CCCAGUGUCAGUGCGAAACAUUCACAUUCGUAGAUCGUGACGAAGAAUCGUUCCAAAAGCCAGUGUUCUGCGCAAAUUAUAAUCAGCAAGAUGGCAGCUAGUCAGUACUAUCACAUACAGUGCACACCCACCGUGUAUCCGGCUGAUCCUUUCGAUGCCGAAGCAGAUGCCAAUUUAUUACGAUCUGCAAUGAAGGGUUUCGGGACUGAUGAGCAGGCCGUAUUGGACGUCUUGGCUCAUCGCGGUAUCGUACAGCGACUAGAAAUUGCCGACAAAUUUAAGACAAUGUACGGCAAGGACCUCAUUUCCGAGUUGAAGUCAGAGUUGUCCGGAAACUUUGAAAAAGCCAUCGUGGGUCUAAUGACGCCUCUUCCCGAGUAUUACGCCAAGGAGUUGCAUGAUGCUAUUUCCGGCAUGGGCACCGACGAGGGUGCACUCAUCGAAGUCCUUGCAUCCCUGAGCAAUUAUGGUAUCAAGACGAUAUCGGCUGUUUAUAAGGACCUGUACGAUACAGAGCUGGAAGACGACCUCAAAAGCGAUACCUCUGGUUAUUUCAAGAGGCUUUUGGUAUCGUUGUCUUGCGCUAGUAGAGACGAGAGUCCAGACGUCGAUGAGGAGGCCGCACGUCAGGAUGCCGAGAGGCUUCAAGCUGCGGGUGAGGGACAGUGGGGCACCGACGAAAGCAUUUUCAACGCAAUUCUCAUUACUAAGAGUUUUCCUCAAUUGCGACGGAUCUUCAAAGAAUACGAGCACCUCACCGGAGACACCUUGAAACAUGCUAUCAAGCGAGAAUUCUCUGGUUCUGUCGAAGAUGGCUACUUAGCUGUGGUGAAAUGCGCCUCCGAUAAGACUGCUUAUUUCGCGGAAAGAUUGUACAAAGCUAUGCGCGGAAUGGGCACGAACGAUUCGACAUUGAUACGCAUUAUUGUGACACGAUCAGAGAUUGAUCUGGGCGACAUUAAGGAUGCCUAUGAGAGACUUUAUGGAAAAUCUCUUGCGGAAGCUAUCGACGACGACUGUUCAGGCGACUACAAGAGACUCUUGCUUACCCUUGUCGGAUGAAAAUAUUUCAAUCGUGCAACAGACGCUUUUGUUGAAAAUACUUUAAUGUCGCGGAGAUUAUAUAGCGCUUCAUUGUAUUCUGCAAAGAUUUUGAUUAUUGAAUUUAGUUUCUUACGUUUCGUUGGCUGUUAAUGAACGAUUGCACCGCCGAGUGGAAAAGAUUAUUGAUAGCAAUGUUGAAUUAAAGAGUAUACCUAUAAUACAUGCGAAAUA